UCAGAGUGAUCAUGGCUCAGGAUGAACGCUAGCGGCAGGCCUAACACAUGCAAGUCGAGGGGCAGCACGGUGUAGCAAUACACUGGUGGCGACCGGCGCACGGGUGCGUAACGCGUAUGCAACCUACCCACAACAGGGGGAUAACACUGAGAAAUUGGUACUAAUACCCCAUAACAUCAGGACCGGCAUCGGUUCUGGUUGAAAACUCCGGUGGUUAUGGAUGGGCAUGCGUUGUAUUAGCUGGUUGG
RNAcentral lists this ribosomal RNA (248 nucleotides) under uncultured bacterium. RNAcentral describes it as "partial 16S ribosomal RNA". It matches the Rfam family "Bacterial small subunit ribosomal RNA", at positions 1 to 252 of the family's 1533-position model. The record is from RNAcentral.